UUUUUCUAAAAGUGGAAUUUCAUUCGUAUCUUAUACCACCCUUUCUUACACAAUCCCACAAAUUUCCAACCAGCUUUUCUAGCAAGAAAUCCAACCCUUUUACAUGAUAUCCAAUUAUGGCGCUUUUGUUGAUGAUGUCUAUGCCUUGAAUCAUCAUCUAAAAGCGGUUGAUAAUCUUUUUGCCUCAAAUAAUCUAAAAGAGAUUGUCUUGGCGAUUUUGAAUCCAUAACGCAAAUGUAUAAGCUAAGAGGGAUCUUUAGAUUAAUUAGAUUAUAACCUUUUCUGAAAAAGAAAUAAGAAAAGGUAAUAGAAAAUUAAAGGGAUUAUAAGGGGCGAUGCCUUCUAUAUAAUACUAAAUCAUUACACAACUCUUGUUCUUUGAUUUCUUCUAUGUUGUCUUUUUAUAUUGCAUGUUUUUGUUGGAC
Molecule: long non-coding RNA, 425 nt
Filed under: Arachis ipaensis
Lineage: Eukaryota; Viridiplantae; Streptophyta; Magnoliopsida; Fabales; Fabaceae
Description: long non-coding RNA (AIPA_LNC000974)
Source: RNAcentral